This 440-nucleotide ribosomal RNA is filed under the name Klebsiella sp. S5. Its description in RNAcentral is "bacterial SSU rRNA". It matches the Rfam family "Bacterial small subunit ribosomal RNA", at positions 558 to 997 of the family's 1533-position model. Lineage: Bacteria; Pseudomonadati; Pseudomonadota; Gammaproteobacteria; Enterobacterales; Enterobacteriaceae. The record is from RNAcentral.
GCGUAAAGCGCACGCAGGCGGUCUGUCAAGUCGGAUGUGAAAUCCCCGGGCUCAACCUGGGAACUGCAUUCGAAACUGGCAGGCUAGAGUCUUGUAGAGGGGGGUAGAAUUCCAGGUGUAGCGGUGAAAUGCGUAGAGAUCUGGAGGAAUACCGGUGGCGAAGGCGGCCCCCUGGACAAAGACUGACGCUCAGGUGCGAAAGCGUGGGGAGCAAACAGGAUUAGAUACCCUGGUAGUCCACGCCGUAAACGAUGUCGAUUUGGAGGUUGUGCCCUUGAGGCGUGGCUUCCGGAGCUAACGCGUUAAAUCGACCGCCUGGGGAGUACGGCCGCAAGGUUAAAACUCAAAUGAAUUGACGGGGGCCCGCACAAGCGGUGGAGCAUGUGGUUUAAUUCGAUGCAACGCGAAGAACCUUACCUGGUCUUGACAUCCACAGAACU